Molecule: ribosomal RNA, 253 nt
Filed under: uncultured bacterium
Lineage: Bacteria
Description: partial 16S ribosomal RNA
Rfam family: Bacterial small subunit ribosomal RNA
Source: RNAcentral
UACGUAGGGGGCAAGCGUUGUCCGGAAUCAUUGGGCGUAAAGAGCGUGUAGGCGGCUCGAUAAGUCUGCUGUGAAAGUCCAGGGCUCAACCCUGGAAGGCCGGUGGAAACUGUCGGGCUAGAGUCCGGAAGAGGCGAGUGGAAUUCCCGGUGUAGCGGUGAAAUGCGCAGAUAUCGGGAGGAACACCAAUUGCGAAGGCAGCUCGCUGGAACGUAACUGACGCUGAGACGCGAAAGCGUGGGGAGCAAACGGG